RNAcentral lists this long non-coding RNA (654 nucleotides) under Homo sapiens (human). RNAcentral's name for it is "HSALNT0258844". Lineage: Eukaryota; Metazoa; Chordata; Mammalia; Primates; Hominidae. The record is from RNAcentral.
CUGGGGUCGUCGGGGGCCAGGUGGGCUGCCCGAGUUUGGAGACAGUAACCUGGGACUCCGGGGGGAGUGGCCACCCCACUCCUCAUCCCGGAUCGGGGUGAGGGCAGGGCCCCGGGAAGGCCGAGAUCGCCAGUCGUCCUCGUGGAGGGAGGUGACUUCACUCAUGGCUGCAGGGAAGGUACCCCGCUCCACACGGCCACUGGGGGGGCCAGGUCGAGAAGGGUCGAAGUUGGCCAGCUCCUUCUCCAUGUAGUACAGGACCCGCAUGGAGUCGUCCUGCUGGCUGGCCUGAAUCCUGUAGCCACUGCGGACUUCGGCACAUCCAACUUCGGGACGAUGGAUUCUCACCAGAGGCCACACUGCUGUCCGUGUCCCGAAGCAGGGGUACAUAGGAGCCUUGGCCACCAGCUGGGGGUCCUUCCAGCCCCUGCCCCUCAGUGUCCAGAUGCCCAGCACACUCCCACCAGCUGUUCCUGCUUCCCCCGGCCUCACCUGAGCUACUCCUGUCAACGUCUCCAGGGUCUUGGCGGGAGACAGGUGGGCAUAGGUGCUGGGGGCAUAAAUGCUGGGAACACCUGAGGUGGCUGCUUUGCCGGCGGCAUACACUGCUAACUUACUGGAAGAAGUGGCCACCCAUGGUCUGUGUGUUUACAG